GGGUGGAUAGUGUAUCGGAAACACGGAUAAUCUAUUGUCAGAAAUGGGUUCGACUCCCAUUCUACCCGA
RNAcentral lists this transfer RNA (69 nucleotides) under Bacteriophage sp. RNAcentral describes it as "tRNA-OTHER". It matches the Rfam family "tRNA". Rfam says of the family: Transfer RNA (tRNA) molecules are approximately 80 nucleotides in length. Their secondary structure includes four short double-helical elements and three loops (D, anti-codon, and T loops). The record is from RNAcentral.